Molecule: ribosomal RNA, 470 nt
Filed under: uncultured bacterium
Lineage: Bacteria
Description: bacterial SSU rRNA
Rfam family: Bacterial small subunit ribosomal RNA
Source: RNAcentral
GGACGAACGCUGGCGGCGUGCUUAACACAUGCAAGUCGAACGAGACGAUUGAAAGCUUGCUUUUGAAAGUCGAGUGGCAAACGGGUGAGUAACGCGUAUCCAACCUGCCCAUCACUUGGGAAUAACCUUGCGAAAGUAAGACUAAUACCCAAUGAUAUCCAUAGAAGACAUCUGAAAUGGAUUAAAGAUUUAUCGGUGAUGGAUGGGGAUGCGUCUGAUUAGCUUGUUGGCGGGGUAACGGCCCACCAAGUCGACGAUCAGUAGCCGGACUGAGAGGUUGAACGGCCACAUUGGGACUGAGAUACGGCCCAGACUCCUACGGGAGGCAGCAGUGGGGAAUAUUGGGCAAUGGGGGCAACCCUGACCCAGCAACGCCGCGUGAAGGAAGAAGGCUUUCGGGUUGUAAACUUCUUUUACCAGGGACGAAGAAAGUGACGGUACCUGGAGAAAAAGCCACGGCUAACUACGUG